CAGAAAAUCCGAACCCCAGUCAAG
Molecule: non-coding RNA, 24 nt
Filed under: Cricetulus griseus (Chinese hamster)
Lineage: Eukaryota; Metazoa; Chordata; Mammalia; Rodentia; Cricetidae
Source: RNAcentral